Gossypium raimondii (Peruvian cotton) is the source of this 73-nucleotide non-coding RNA. Lineage: Eukaryota; Viridiplantae; Streptophyta; Magnoliopsida; Malvales; Malvaceae. The record is from Rfam.
GGGGAUGUAGCUCAAAUGGUAGAGCACUCGCUUUGCAUGCGAAAGGCACGAGCUUCAAUCCCUCGCAUCUCCA